Leptonychotes weddellii (Weddell seal) is the source of this 1097-nucleotide non-coding RNA. Lineage: Eukaryota; Metazoa; Chordata; Mammalia; Carnivora; Phocidae. The record is from RefSeq and is a predicted model, not a curated record.
UGGACGGCCGCUGAAACGCCGCGGUGGAGGAGAGACCGGGAAGGAAGUCUGGCCGCCCCGCUCGUGGCUCCGCCCCCUAUUCUCCAUGCCCGGAAGGGAGAAUCCUCACUAGACCCGAGGGCACAUGGGAGAGAGUUCCGCCCCCAAAGCGAAAGCGGCCGGGGGAGCGCGCUCAAGGGUAGGCCACGCCUCUCCGCCAGAGUCGUCCGGGCCAAUGAAGGGCCGAAAUUACCGGCUAAGCUCCACCUCCGGAGAAGGAGGACAGUGACGAGACAAGCCCAAAUUGGCAAAUGGCAGCCUUACUGUGCAGUCCAGUGGAAGUAUUCCCAUGUCCUCUGGUGGGAGCAUGCCUCCCUUGGGUAAUAGAACUUGUGAAGAGCCAUGGUCAGAAUCACAGAGACAUGAAGAUCAACAUUUAAGAGUCAGUUAGAUAGGACAGAAUUGCCACUCCAUAUUUACCCUCUCUUCCUGCAUUCCAUCUAUUUUGUUCUACGUGAAAGGCUACUGCACAUUUGCUUACCGGUGCACAAUUUACAGCGCUUCCUGUAGAACUUCAGUCUCGUAAGGUGUUGUCCCUUACUUAUGGCCAUGGAUUGGGCACCUUUUGUGCCCAUUGGUGCACCUUUCUACUCCAGCCUUUGCUGUGGCUACCAGGUGCUUGCAGGUGUGACCUAACAGCCCUUGGCUUCCACUGCUUUCUCCAAGUAUCUUGCUUUCUGCCCCAGGGCUUCUUUCAUGGAAUUCACCUCGUGGGUUGUCUGUGGGAACUUGCACUGUGAUUUUGAUACAUGUGUCAACCUAAAAGUGCCAACUUGAGAGUUCGAAGGAGUUAACCAGCAACUGGGAAACCCUUGACCAAGGACAGGAGCCAGUGCAUAAAUAUUCCCUCUUCCUUCCCUGGUUGGACAAUUAUGAGGCACAUUCUACAGUGCUGCAGAGUAUUUCCAGCAGAAUCGACAUCCACAUGCCCAAAGCAGUGACCUUCUGGAUCAGUCAUCCUUGGAUUGGCUUUCCUGGUUUGCCUGUUUUACCCUUCCUACUCUCUGACUCCUGUUCCUUGGGAUCACUCCUAAAAAUAAACUACCUGUUUGCACGCC